GACGAACGCUGGCGGCGUGCUUAACACAUGCAAGUCGAACGGAAAGGCCCCUUUGGGGGUCCUCGAGUGGCGAACGGGUGCGUAACACGUGAGUAACCUGCCCUUGACUUCGGGAUAACUUCAGGAAACUGGGGCUAAUACCGGAUAGGAAUCCUUGCUGCAUGGUGGGGGUUGGAAAGCUUCGGCGGUUUUGGAUGGACUCGCGGCUUAUCAGCUUGUUGGUGGGGUAGUGGCUUACCAAGGCUUUGACGGGUAGCCGGCCUGAGAGGGCGACCGGCCACAUUGGGACUGAGAUACGGCCCAGACUCCUACGGGAGGCAGCAGGGGGGAAUAUUGCACAAUGGGCGGAAGCCUGAUGCAGCAACGCCGCGUGCGGGAUGACGGCCUUCGGGUUGUAAACCGCUUUCAGCAGGGGCGAAGCUUGUGGUGACGGUACCUGCAGAAGAAGCACCGGCUAACUACGUG
This 465-nucleotide ribosomal RNA is filed under the name uncultured bacterium. RNAcentral's name for it is "partial 16S ribosomal RNA". It matches the Rfam family "Bacterial small subunit ribosomal RNA", at positions 28 to 507 of the family's 1533-position model. The record is from RNAcentral.